This 904-nucleotide ribosomal RNA is filed under the name Sphaerulina menispermi. RNAcentral's name for it is "LSU rRNA". It matches the Rfam family "Eukaryotic large subunit ribosomal RNA", at positions 34 to 967 of the family's 3401-position model. Lineage: Eukaryota; Fungi; Ascomycota; Dothideomycetes; Mycosphaerellales; Mycosphaerellaceae. The record is from RNAcentral.
GUAAGCAUAUCAAUAAGCGGAGGAAAAGAAACCAACAGGGAUUGCCCUAGUAACGGCGAGUGAAGCGGCAACAGCUCAAAUUUGAAAUCUGGCGCAAGCCCGAGUUGUAAUUUGUAGAGGAUGCUUCUGGGUAGCGACCGGUCUAAGUUCCUUGGAACAGGACGUCAUAGAGGGUGAGAAUCCCGUAUGUGACCGGCCCGCACCCUUUACGUAGCUCCUUCGACGAGUCGAGUUGUUUGGGAAUGCAGCUCUAAAUGGGAGGUAAAUUUCUUCUAAAGCUAAAUACCGGCCAGAGACCGAUAGCGCACAAGUAGAGUGAUCGAAAGAUGAAAAGUACUUUGGAAAGAGAGUUAAAAAGCACGUGAAAUUGUUGAAAGGGAAGCGCCUGCAAUCAGACUUCGCGGCAGUGUUCCGCCGGUCUUCUGACCGGUUCAUUCUCUGUCGCGAGGCCAUCAUCGUCUCGGCCCGCUGGAUAAGACCUUGGGAAUGUAGCUCACCUUCGGGGGAGUGUUAUAGCUCAUGGUGAUGCAGCGAGGCUGGGGCGAGGUCCGCGCUUCGGCAAGGAUGAUGGCGUAAUGGUUGUCGGCGGCCCGUCUUGAAACACGGACCAAGGAGUCUAACAUCUAUGCGAGUGUUCGGGUGUCAAACCCCUACGCGUAAUGAAAGUGAACGGAGGUGGGAACCGCAAGGUGCACCAUCGACCGAUCCUGAUGUCCUCGGAUGGAUUUGAGUAAGAGCAUAGCUGUUGGGACCCGAAAGAUGGUGAACUAUGCCUGAAUAGGGUGAAGCCAGAGGAAACUCUGGUGGAGGCUCGCAGCGGUUCUGACGUGCAAAUCGAUCGUCAAAUUUGGGUAUAGGGGCGAAAGACUAAUCGAACCAUCUAGUAGCUGGUUCCUGCCGAAGU